CGGCCGCAGCAGCAGCGGCAGUCACAGGCACAUCAGCAAAGAGGCAUAGUACCAAUUCUGUGUCAGGCAUUUUAUUCACUUUGUUUCAACUGUUCUUGAGAUCCCUGAGGAUUAGGACUAUUGCAGUUAUAAGUCUAUAACUGAGGAAAGGAAGCUUAUCUGGACAGGAAGAUAUUUAGAGUAUGAUAUAAAGACAGUCUCUUUUUAAAAACAACAUUUUAAAGGUUUAUUCCCUGCUGUCCUGAAUCUUGCUUCUAAUGCUCUUAUCACGACCAAUGCAACAUGUGG
RNAcentral lists this small RNA (288 nucleotides) under Pan troglodytes (chimpanzee). RNAcentral's name for it is "processed transcript". The record is from RNAcentral. Lineage: Eukaryota; Metazoa; Chordata; Mammalia; Primates; Hominidae.